AUUGAACGCUGGCGGCAUGCCUUACACAUGCAAGUCGAACGGCAGCAUGGAGAGCUUGCUCUCUGAUGGCGAGUGGCGAACGGGUGAGUAAUGCAUCGGAACGUACCGUGUAAUGGGGGAUAACGUAGCGAAAGUUACGCUAAUACCGCAUACGACCUGAGGGUGAAAGCAGGGGAUCGCAAGACCUUGCGUUAUACGAGCGGCCGAUGUCAGAUUAGCUAGUUGGGGAGGUAAAGGCUUACCAAGGCGACGAUCUGUAGCGGGUCUGAGAGGAGGAUGGGCCGCACUGGGACUGAGACACGGCCCAGACUCCAACGGGAGGCAGCAGUGGGGAAUUUUGGGCAAUGGGGGCAACCCUGAUCCAGCCAUGCCGCGUGAAUGAAGAAGGCCUUCGGGUUGUAAAGCUCUUUCGGCCGGGAAGAAAUCGCACAGGCUAAUACUCUGUGUGGAUGACGGUACCGGCAUAAGAAGCACCGGCUAACUACGUGCCAGCAGCCGCCGUAA
RNAcentral lists this ribosomal RNA (504 nucleotides) under uncultured bacterium. Its description in RNAcentral is "partial 16S ribosomal RNA". It matches the Rfam family "Bacterial small subunit ribosomal RNA", at positions 29 to 523 of the family's 1533-position model. The record is from RNAcentral.